RNAcentral lists this ribosomal RNA (253 nucleotides) under uncultured bacterium. RNAcentral describes it as "partial 16S ribosomal RNA". It matches the Rfam family "Bacterial small subunit ribosomal RNA", at positions 524 to 776 of the family's 1533-position model. The record is from RNAcentral.
UACGUAGGGUGCGAGCGUUGUCCGGAAUUAUUGGGCGUAAAGGGCUCGUAGGCGGUUUGUCGCGUCGGGAGUGAAAACUCAGGGCUUAACCCUGAGCCUGCUUCCGAUACGGGCAGACUAGAGGUAUGCAGGGGAGAACGGAAUUCCUGGUGUAGCGGUGAAAUGCGCAGAUAAUCAGGAGGAACACCGGUGGCGAAGGCAGGUCUCUGGGCCACUACUGACGUGAGAAGCGAAAGCAUGGGGAGCGAACAGG